UACGGAGGGUGCAAGCGUUAUUCGGAAUCACUGGGCGUAAAGGACGCGUAGGCGGGUUGGCAAGUCAGAUGUGAAAUCCUACAGCUUAACUGUAGAACUGCAUUUGAAACUGCUAACCUAGAGUAUGGGAGGGGGGAUGGAAUUAGUGGUGUAGGGGUAAAAUCCGUAGAUAUCACUAGGAAUACCGAAAGCGAAGGCGAUCUCCUGGAACAUAACUGACGCUAAGGCGUGAAAGCGUGGGGAGCAAACAGGAUUAGAAACCCCGGUAGUCC
Molecule: ribosomal RNA, 272 nt
Filed under: uncultured bacterium
Lineage: Bacteria
Description: partial 16S ribosomal RNA
Rfam family: Bacterial small subunit ribosomal RNA
Source: RNAcentral